AUGAUCUCUCAGGCUCAGCUCCUCUGGCUGUUUGCACUCUGGAUCCGUGGUUCUAGUGCGGACAUUGUGAUGACUCAGACUCCAGAGUCCUUGGUGGUGCCUCCAGGAGACACGGCCACCAUCAAGUGCAAAGCCAGCUCCAGUGUCACAGGCUCUUAUGUCUACGUAAACUGGUACCAACAGAAAUCUGGACAAGCUCCUAAACGUCUCAUCUAUUAUGCUUCCAGCCGUGCCACUGGAGUCUCAGACCGGUUCAGUGGCAGUGGCUCUGGCACUGACUUCACUCUUACCAUCAGCCGAGUUGAAGCUGAAGAUGCUGGCGAUUAUUAUUGCCAACAAACCUAUAGCACUCCUCUCACAGUGAUUCAGACCCAUACAAAAACCUCUUUCUAA
Molecule: non-coding RNA, 393 nt
Organism: Alligator mississippiensis (American alligator)
Lineage: Eukaryota; Metazoa; Chordata; Crocodylia; Alligatoridae
Source: the annotation of a RefSeq genome assembly